AGAUAAUGAGCUUGUUAAUAGUUUAUAUUUUGAAAAUAUAAGAUAGAAUUUAAAAUAAUUUUAUUAUCUA
This 70-nucleotide transfer RNA is filed under the name Cotesia flavipes. Its description in RNAcentral is "tRNA-Ser". Lineage: Eukaryota; Metazoa; Arthropoda; Insecta; Hymenoptera; Braconidae. The record is from RNAcentral.